CUCUCUGGAGAUUGGAGAUAACAUGUCGGCCUUGGCCCCACAGGAGCUGGCCAUGUCCAAGGAUCCAGGAAUCAGUUAUUUUAUCUUCACGUCUGAUUCCUGAGGGACAAAUGCUGUCAGUCUCACUGUGGAUCGAAGCAGGGAAUAUGAUUUUAGUCAGAAAUUGCCUCCUGUCUGCUGCAAAUUGGACUGAGGAAGAGAGGAAGUUGAAUUUCCCAAAGCUGAGUCAAUUUUAGAUUUAAUCCUUGGAUUGGCUAAUUCAUUCAUUCCUUCACAUCCACGUAGUAGGCAUUUAUCGAGCAUUUAUUAGGUUAUUUAUUAGGCGUUGAGCAUAUAAAGCAAAAAGCAAUAAAAAAUUACCAAGAAUAAUCAAAGCAAUACUAACAGCUAAUAUUUCUCCAUGAAGCCCUUACUAAAGUCCAGGUGAGGGUUUAAGGGCUUUGCUUAAAUUAUUCUCACAACUCCAUGGGGUAGGUGCUAUUUCUGCACCAUUAUGUGCAUUAAGGAAACAGACUCAGAGAGGUUAAGAAACAUGUCCCUGUCAUGGAGCUAGUAGUUCCAGAGUAGAAUUGAAAACCAGGCCAUUUGGCUCCGGUCUCUCCCUCUACUCAAACUCCAGAUCUCAAAGAGCUUGCGCUUUCAUGAGGAAGAAAACCAAUAAAAAAAGAGAGAAAAGUUUAAUAAAGUGGAUAAUAUAUUGAGUGCUUGCUACAUGUAUGACUUCGUUCAAUCCUCACAAUCACUCUCUGAAGAGGACACUGUUAUCAUUUCUCUCCAUUUACAGAUGGGGAAACUGAGGCACCAAGCAGUUAUAGAACUUGCUUGAGUUCGCAUAGUGGGUGAAGGGUGGAGCCAAUGCUUGGAGGCAGGCGGUCUGGCCCCAUAGCCUAUGCUUUUGACCUUUUCUCUCUGUCUCCUGAUGUUGGGUAAAGUGAGCAUGCAGGGCUGUGAUCAGAAAGAAAAUGUAUCAAAAAUAGGUUGGAUGAGGUAGAGGAGGGGUCUUAUAAGAGGGGAGCUUGAGCUGAAUUCUGAAGGGCAUGCAGUAUUGGGCCAGGCGAAGAUUGGGAGGAGAGGAUGCCAGCCAUGGGAGCAGCCUAGGAGGGACGCGGAGGGAAGAGGGAGCCGUGUUUGUUCCAUCAAACUGCAAGUGAUUCUGUUUUGUUCUAAUACAAGGCAGGAUGGGGGAGUAAAAAAAACAUGAGGGGGAACGUUAGGUCCAAGCCAGGGUAUGAAAUGUCCUUGUAUGCCACGUGAAGGAGUCUGGGUCUUGUUCAGGUAACGAGGAGCCAUAGAUGGGGCUCUAGCAGAGCAGUAGCAGUGUCAGAUCCAUGCUUGAGAAUGAUCAUGCCAGCUUAUGGGCCAUCCAAAAGCUGGCACACCCGAGGAGCAGGCCAUCCCAGGCUCUCUUGCAAUGAGAAGACAGUAACUUGCAGGCUAGGAUGGUAGCAAGGAGGACAAAGACAAGUGGAGGGAUUCAAGCAAUUUUAGGAGGUAAACCAAAAGAAAAUACGAUUGGAUGCAUGUGGGGGGCGGAAGGAGAGGGGUGAAGGAUGACCUCAGGUUUUUGACUUGAGCAAGUGGGUAGAAGGUGGGCCGUUUCUUGAGGCAGGAGGCUGGAGCAGAUUUAGGCUUGACGAGGACAGGGUCCGAGGCAGAUGUGUGGAAUUUGAGGAGUUUGUGGGAAAACCUGAUGGAUGCCCAACAGGCAGUCUAAUGUACAAUCUGGAACCCAGGAGAGGGGAAAUCCAGACUGGUGUAAGAAUUGGGGGAGAGUGAGCUUAUUUAUAGGUGUUUUUUCAAACUUUGGAGUAGUUGAAGGUGUCAGUUCUAGGGUUAUGGGACCUCUUUACAGCUGGUAAACUCAUACCUGAAUCUCAGAAAUAAUCUCCUCAAAUAUAAUAGUUCAUUUUCUGUUGAAAAAUUCAAUAAUAUUCUGCAUCAGCCUAGCUCUUCGCAGUUUUCCCAGGGCUUUCAUAUACAUUAUUUCAUUAAAAUAAAGUCUGGUUGGCAACGCAGAGGAUGAGGGUUCAUCUCUAAAAAUAAGAAUGGCACUUUGAAGGUUUGUAUAACUUCCAGAUUGCUAGUUAGCCAGGGGCAGGGCUGGGAUGAGCACAGUGUUGCUCAGAUUUUGAUGUGCACUGGAAUUGCCUGGGGAUCUGGCAGAUUCUGAUUUAGGGUUGGUGAUGGUGUCAGUGGUGGUGGUAGUUGGUGACAUCAGUGGUGGGACUCUGUAUUCUAACAUACUCCCAGGUGAUGUCACUGCUUCUGCUCUGAGAUGCACUUUGAGUAUCAAAGGACUAGAGAACAGAUUUUCUCUCUCCUUGUUCAGCACCCUGUUCAUUAAGCCUUGUUGAGUCAAGAUCUAAAACUAAGAGUGGGCAACACAAGGUGAGCCAUUUACUGCUAGAAUUUCAAGGGAUGGAAUGUUUCUUAUCUUAGAAGUAAAACUUUGAGAACUUGCGAUUGACCUUACUCUUUUGCAGAUGAUAAAGCCAUGGUUUUUUGCAGAGAGGGAGCUGACACACCCAAAGAAACUGGCAUCUGGGUCAGAAUAAGAAAGGAUCCCUGGUUUCCUGGCUCAGAAUCCAGUGCUUGCCACACCUUGUUGUCCCCUUUGCAUAUUCCGAGGCAUAUGGAGUUCAACAGGAUCCAAGAGACUUGGGUAAAUGCCAAGUCAUGUGGGCUCCUUAAUCCUGAAGUUUGCCCUGCUGAGUCCAAUCUGGGAACAAUGUCCUGGCUUAGGGGUGAGGGGAGGGAAAGGUUUGUUUCAGGUAUAAUUAAUAAACAUACUCAAAUGCAAAAGGACAGAGAGGAGAGGUAUCACUUUUAAAAAAAAUAUUUUAUUGAGGCAACAUUGAUUUAAAAUUGUGUGAAUUUCAGGCAUAUAUUACUACAUUUCAGCUUCUGGAUAGACUGCAUCAUUUCACCACCAAUAGUCUAGUUUUUCUCCAUCACCAUAUAUAUGUGCCCCUUUACCUCUUUUGCCCUCCCACCACCCCCUUCCUCCCUGGUAAUCACCAAUCUGUUCUACUUAUCUAUUUAUUUGUUUAUCUUCCACAUAUGAGUGAAAUCAUACUGUAUUUGUCUUUCUCUGCCUGACUUAUUUUGCUUAGCAUAAUACCCUCAAGGUCCAUCCAUGUUGUUGCAAAUGGGACAAUUUUGUCUUUUUUAUGGCUGAGUAGUAUUCCAUUGUAUACAUAUACUGCAUCUUCUUUAUCCAUUCAUCUGUUGAUGGGCAUUUGGAUUGCUUCUAAGUCUUGGCUAUCGUGAAUAAUGCUGUGAUAAAUAUAGGAGCACGUAUAUCUUUUUGAAUUAGUGUUUUCAUGUUCUUUGGAUAAAUACCCAGAAGUGGAAGACCUGGAUGGUAUGGUAUUUCUAUUUUUAAUUUUUGAGGAAUCUCCAUACUGUUUUCCAUAUUGGCUGUACCAGUUUGCAUUUCCACCAGCAGUGUAUGAGGGUCCCUUUUCUCCACAUCCUCUCCAACACUUGUUAUGUCUUGUCUUGUUAAUAUUAGCCAUUCUGAAAGGUGUCCAUCACUUUGGGUGUUAAAACCAAAAGGUAUUAGGCCAAGUUCCAGUCCUGGGUUCUGACAGGGAAACUGGGUUGCCACUGGUCCCCGAUUUAGCUCUCCUCUGCCCCACUGCCUCGGAGUUACAGAGUUACACUUUUAAAGCCCGAUUAGUCCAGUUGCGAUGUGCCUUUUGUCACCAGCUACGGUAUCAUUUUUCAUGCACUCUUUAUGUUCAUAUUUAAGUCCAGUCAUCUUUAAUUUAAAUUUUGCUGAAAACAGCCAUAUUGCUGCAAGUGUAAAUGAAGGUAGAUGAACAUUAAUGGUGUCAGCUCACAGCUGUUCAUAAGUUAAAUAGUUAUUGCUCACCCCCCCCAGAUCUCUGUUUGAAAUGCCUAAAAUGUUCAAUUAGAAGCAUAAAGAGCUUUUCUUCAUCAUUGUUAUUAGGAUCAGGUUCAGGCUGAAGAACUUGCAUGUGCUAUGAGACACGGAAAUCAGACUGAAACUCCGUUAAUUAAACAGAACUAGUUUAUGUUUGAGAGGAGUCUGCAGAAGCUAUGUUGUUUUUGCAAAUUUAUUACAUUUUCUUCAAAGUGUCUAGAUUAAUGCUACAUUAAUUACUGGUGGGUAGGCACCCUGCAGCAUAUGUUGCUAUUAAUUGUAUCCAUUAUCACAAAAUAAACAUCUUUUUAUAAAAACAAAUGAUGCUUCAUUUUAAUAUGUGGCUUGAAACACCCUUCUCCACAGCCGUUGCUACUUCUGUUUGGGUGCUUUUGCUACAAAAGACCACCUGUUACAAUAGACAUUUCAUUUGUUUUUAUUUGAAAAAAAAAAAAAAAACCUCUUAGAAAACAAAACUCUGCCUCCUCAAAGUACAAUAAUCUUAAAAAAAAAAAAAAAAAAAAAAUGAAGACCCAGAGGAAAUUUGCAUUUUUCCCAUCAGAAUUUCUCAACACUAGGGUGGCCCAUACACCUUCAGUCUUUUAGCCCUGACCCCUUGGUCUGGAUCUGCUUGAUUUUUAGGUCUUGAAGGAUCUCAUUCUGCUGUAAACUUCUUUGUGUUGCAGAUGGAGAAACUGAGAGCAGUUGGUAUCGACUCAAGGCAGACCCAUUUUCCCCAACUCUGUAAUGGGUUCCUUUUGUUCUCCAGUAUUUAGCUUUUUGACUGCAUCAGCCUGUGGACUGCACUGACUGGCUGUGUGACCUUGGGAAAAUUUCCCAACCACUAUGAUCUUUGGUUUCCUUCACUCCAUAAAGGGAUGAAUAGCUAAUUCAUCAGAGUUGAUGUGAAGAUGAAAUGAAUUUAUGUAUUUCCUAGAAUAGUGCCUGGGAUGUGAUAGGUCCUCAAAAAUGGUGACUAUUGCAGUAAUAAUUGCUGUUGUUCUCAUUGCUGUUAGUUCAAGUAAUGCACAUUCCACAGUCCAUUCUUAAAGCAUUUGGUCUAAUGGUAAAUGACUUGUCACCACUAACGUGGAGCUCCUUCAGAGCCUUGAAGUGCUGCUUUUCUGUACUGUCCUUGCUCUAUGGUUGUUAUUCAGUGUUCAUGAACAAAAAAAUGUAACUAUAAAUUAAACUGAAGUUGAAUCGUAAAGGGACACGCUAUAUACAGUAGUAGUGACUAAAUCCAAAAAUUGAAAUUGCCAGCAAUUGUUGGGAAGACUUUCUUAUCAUUGGCCACUUUUCCACCCCUUUAAAUAAAAAGAAAAAUUAGCUUAGCAUUCUUAGACUGAUCACAAAUGAUCAAGGAUUUCAUUUUGCAUCUUAUGGAACCACAAUGCCAUUCGUUCAUUCAUUCAUUCAUUGACUUUGGAAUUCCUGUUUGUAGGGGAGGACUCUGCACAGAGGCACAGACGGUAGUAGUUGUACAAGAAAUGUGAAAUGCUUUCUUUCUUCAUGAACUGUAUGUGUGUGGAAUAAAAGUAGAUGGGACUACAGUCUCUCACCUUGGAAAAUUUGCAAUUUGGCUGAAAGGCAAAGGUGUGAUGCCUGACACAAGGUUCAGAACUCUUGGUUUAAGGAAAGAAAGUGGUCUGAGCCUUGGUCAUCAUUGGCCACUCUUGACAACACCCAUUUGCUGUAAGACCACUGGCCAUCUGCUUGGGUCAAGAAUGCACAUCUAAACUCUAAAAGAGAUUCGGCUUUGGAAGGUACAGUAUCCCUUCCUGUAACUCUGGAAGUUUGGAGGUGAAGAAACACAAGGCUGAGAGGGUGACUGGCCACCAAGAUCCAUUUUAUUAACACACCAUCCCAACAGGGCCUUUCUUCUACUCUGCUGUUGCUCUGUGGACUCUGGUGUCCCUUAAUCCUUGAGGUGAUGGUGUAGCCAAUGAUUUUCCCUUCCUGAGUGUGGGUGAGGGGGUGAAGGUUUGGUGAAGAGAAAGAGCAGAACUGAACCUUCUUCAGACUCUCGUUCCUCUGCUCCCUCUGUCUGCUCUCUGCUCCAGACCCCAGCAUAGCCCCUCCCAGCUUGUCUUUCACAGGUAUCCUCCAACUCGCAAGAACCUUCAGAUUCCCCAAGAGAUUCUCACAGUUUUGCUAUUGUUCAUUCUUCAGAUUCACGCUUCUCUCUUGCUUCAGUAGUUUCUCCAGGCG
Equus caballus (horse) is the source of this 6100-nucleotide long non-coding RNA. NCBI's taxonomy places the organism in Eukaryota, Metazoa, Chordata, Mammalia, Perissodactyla, Equidae. The record is from Ensembl.